UACGGGGGGAGCCAGCGUUGUUCGGAUUUACUGGGCGUAAAGGGCGCGUAGGCGGUCAGCACAAGUCAGUUGUGAAAUCUCCGGGCUUAACUCGGAAAGGUCAACUGAUACUGUGCGACUAGAGUGCAGAAGGGGCAACUGGAAUUCUCGGUGUAGCGGUGAAAUGCGUAGAUAUCGAGAGGAACACCUACGGCGAAGGCGGGUUGCUGGGCUGACACUGACGCUGAUGCGCGAAAGCGUGGGGAGCAAACAGG
RNAcentral lists this ribosomal RNA (254 nucleotides) under uncultured bacterium. Its description in RNAcentral is "partial 16S ribosomal RNA". It matches the Rfam family "Bacterial small subunit ribosomal RNA", at positions 524 to 776 of the family's 1533-position model. The record is from RNAcentral.